Molecule: ribosomal RNA, 477 nt
Filed under: Salmonella enterica subsp. enterica serovar Enteritidis
Lineage: Bacteria; Pseudomonadati; Pseudomonadota; Gammaproteobacteria; Enterobacterales; Enterobacteriaceae
Description: partial 23S ribosomal RNA
Rfam family: Bacterial large subunit ribosomal RNA
Source: RNAcentral
AAUCCAUAGGUUAAUGAGGCGAACCGGGGGAACUGAAACAUCUAAGUACCCCGAGGAAAAGAAAUCAACCGAGAUUCCCCCAGUAGCGGCGAGCGAACGGGGAGGAGCCCAGAGCCUGAAUCAGCAUGUGUGUUAGUGGAAGCGUCUGGAAAGGCGCGCGAUACAGGGUGACAGCCCCGUACACAAAAGCGCAUGUGCUGUGAGCUCGAUGAGUAGGGCGGGACACGUGGUAUCCUGUCUGAAUAUGGGGGGACCAUCCUCCAAGGCUAAAUACUCCUGACUGACCGAUAGUGAACCAGUACCGUGAGGGAAAGGCGAAAAGAACCCCGGCGAGGGGAGUGAAAAAGAACCUGAAACCGUGUACGUACAAGCAGUGGGAGCACCCUUUGGGUGUGACUGCGUACCUUUUGUAUAAUGGGUCAGCGACUUAUAUUCUGUAGCAAGGUUAACCGAAUAGGGGAGCCGGAGGGAAACCGA